Long non-coding RNA from Gasterosteus aculeatus aculeatus (three-spined stickleback), 2583 nucleotides. The record is from Ensembl. NCBI's taxonomy places the organism in Eukaryota, Metazoa, Chordata, Actinopteri, Perciformes, Gasterosteidae.
CGAGCGCAGAGUGAAGAGGUGGAGAGAGCGCAGCAACGGCUGUCUGCGCGCAGAAAACCAGUUUGUGGAGAGGGCACCUGAGUAAACUGCGGGCACGGAAUGUUUUUCUUUGCUAAAACAUCUCUCUGUGCUCAAAACCUAAAAUUACGCGCUCAGGAUUGUGGCACAAAUAUAACGCCAUAGGUUUCCAGCUGCUCAGAGCGGACCGCGACACGGAGCUCUCCGGCAAGAUAAAGGGUGGAGGAAUCUGCUUCUACUUCAACACCGGCUGGUGCAACGACGUAACGGUGAUCCUACAACACUGUUCUCCUGAUCUGGAAACUUUCUUCAUCAACUGCAAACAAUUUUAUUCCCCCCGUGAGUUUGCUUCAUUCAUCCUGGUCGGUGUUUACAUGCCGUCGGCGGGCAACGUGCACAAGCUCGGUCCCCCACUGACUGACAUGUCACUUUACUGUCAUUUUUCACUCGUCACUUUUGUCACUUGUUCGCUAGUGCACUUUAUUUUUUAAUUUCUUUAAAUAUUUUUUUACUUUUAAAAUACUUUUAAUUUUUAACUUUAAUCUUAUUCUCUUAUUCUAAACAAACCCAUAGCAUUAGCAUUUCAUUUUAUUUUAUUACUUGUGCACUGCUGUCUUGUUGUCUAUUGUUAUACUGUCUACUGUUACGCACCAACCGCCAAGUCAAAUUCCUUGUAUGUAUGACGUAUUUUGACAAUAAAUGUUUCCUGAUUCCUGAUUCCUGUAACCGUUGUGGACCGUAGAUGACAACCAGCUACAACCGUAAUUUCUGUAGUGCGAAAAUGGGCUUCUAUAGUUGUGUGAAUGCAUAACUCCAGCCAAUCCAAAGACGGGGUUUGUAACCAAUUAGAUGUAGAGAUACCAUGGUGACUGGCUCCGCCCCCUUACUGUCAAAAAGAUCAACAGCGAGCUUGUAGAAAACACCUUUGAGCUCGAAGAGAGAAGUUCACGUUCCACAAGCGAGGAAAUAUUGUGCGCCAGACGGACUAUGCUCGCGUAUGUUUGAUUUACGGCGAGCAUCAACCUGAUUCACUGUCAAAAUUCGAGAGCGCAAAUCAGCUUGAUGUGCGCGCGUAAAUCAAACAUUCGCUGGGCUUCUGUUCCCAAGAAGCCCAAGAUCACAGGACUCAAUGACUACAGGCUCGUCGCCCUAUGUAGUCAUGAAGUCUUUUGAACGGCUAGUCCUGUCCCACCUGAAGACCCUCACUGACCCCCUCCUGGACCCACUGCAGUUCGCCUACAGAGCCAAGAGGUCUGUGGACGAAUCUGUCAACAUGGCCCUCCACUACAUCCUCCAGCAUCUGGACUCCCCAGGAACCUACGCCAGGAUCCUGUUUGUGGACUUCAGCUCUGCCUUCAACACCAUCAUCCCGUCUCUGCUGCAGGACAAACUCUCUCAGCUACACGUGCCCGACUCCACCUGCAAGUGGAUCACAGACUUCCUGUCUGACAGGAAGCAGCACGUGAAGCUGGGGAAACAUGUCUCAGCUUCUCGGACCAUCAGCACCGGUUCCCCCCAAGGCUGCGUUCUUUCCCCUCUGCUCUUCUCCCUGUACACCAACAGCUGCACCUCCAGUCACCAGUCCGUCAAGCUCCUGAAGUUUGCGGAUGACACCACCCUCAUUGGACUGAUCUCUGGUGGGGAUGAGUCCGCAGACAGGGGGGAGUUUGACCAUCUGGUGUCGUGGUGCAGCCCGAACAACCUGGAGCUCAACGCUCUGAAGACAGUGGAGAUCGUAGUGGAUUUCCGGAGGAACAGAGCCCCACCCUCCCCCAUCACCCUGUGGCCCUGCAAGGACUUUAUCCCGAUGUGUUUGAGAGUCGACGCCGACGACCGUCCCACGCUGGAGCAGCUCGAGAUCCACCCAUAGCUCAGAUAAGUCAACGGCGCACACACACGUUCUCACGCAAACGGUCUCACGCAGACACACACACGUAGUUGGCAUCACGUAGUCGCGCACACAUAGACGCCAUCGCGUAGACACGCAUGCGUAGACGCCAUCGUGUAGACCCCCUCACGUAGACACGCACACGUAUACUAUGGCGGCAAAUCACUGUCAAAAUUCGAGAGCGCAAAUCAGCUUGAUGCGCUCGCGUAAAUCAUACAUCCGCGAGCAAAACUUCCGUCUCGCGAAAGAUAUUUGCUCGCUCGCGGAACGUGAACUUCCUUGCGAGGCUAGUCUCUGCUUGCGCUCGAAGGUGUUUUCUACGCGCUCGCUGUUGUUCUUUUUGACAGUAAGGGGGCGGUACGGUGGCCCUGAAGUACAAAACACAACGGCAAAUAGGAAAACACAAUGAAAUGAACUCCUUACGGAAAGGGUAGGGGCUUAAGGCUGGCGCAUGCUUCUGCGUCUGCGUCGUUGUGUCGACGCACUCGUUUCAAUUCAUGGUUCUAAAAAGUCUUGCGUGUGUUGCAGCGCAAUUCACCGCCAGAACAACAUGCGGAGUAACGUGUUUUGUUGAAGACGACCUAGAGAGUCACGUCUUUGUGUGUGGAAUUAUUUAUCAUAGACUUUAUUGCCCCGUGCAUCGCCACUGCUGCUUUUCGUCACGGAAACAUUUGUCC